Small nuclear RNA from Papaver somniferum (opium poppy), 108 nucleotides. NCBI's taxonomy places the organism in Eukaryota, Viridiplantae, Streptophyta, Magnoliopsida, Ranunculales, Papaveraceae. The record is from RefSeq and is a predicted model, not a curated record.
CUUAAAACAUAAUAAGGCUUCAAUUAAGUCGAGCCAAGGAUGGAACGAUACAGAGAAGAUUAGCAUGGGCCCUGCACAAGCCCAAAUUGAGAAAUGGUCCAAAUUUUU